RNAcentral lists this long non-coding RNA (257 nucleotides) under Sorghum bicolor (sorghum). RNAcentral describes it as "long non-coding RNA (SBIC_LNC018256)". The record is from RNAcentral. Lineage: Eukaryota; Viridiplantae; Streptophyta; Magnoliopsida; Poales; Poaceae.
UCACGGACAUAGGGGGCACGUUUGUUCAUAACUACGGUAUCAAAACUUUUACACCAGUGCCAUCACAACAUUACUCAAAAGCACCUCAAAAUUAAAAAAUUAAACAGUUUUGGCAACUGAGGUGCUAAAAUUAGACAAAGAUAAAAGUUGAGAGACAAAAAUCAACUUUAUCAAGUACCUUUUUAGGUAUUUAAGAAAAAUUUCAUAUUUAAAUUUACUUAUUGAUAAAUAUACCCUUCAUCCACAACAGAAUGCAA